Molecule: ribosomal RNA, 460 nt
Filed under: uncultured bacterium
Lineage: Bacteria
Description: partial 16S ribosomal RNA
Rfam family: Bacterial small subunit ribosomal RNA
Source: RNAcentral
CCUACGGGCGGCAGCAGUGAGGAAUAUUGGUCAAUGGACGAGAGUCUGAACCAGCCAAGUAGCGUGAAGGAUGACUGCCCUAUGGGUUGUAAACUUCUUUUAUAUGGGAAUAAAAUGUUCCACGUGUGGGAUUUUGUAUGUCCCAUAUGAAUAAGGAUCGGCUAACUCCGUGCCAGCAGCCGCGGUAAUACGGAGGAUCCGAGCGUUAUCCGGAUUUAUUGGGUUUAAAGGGAGCGUAGGUGGAUUGUUAAGUCAGUUGUGAAAGUUUGCGGCUCAACCGUAAAAUUGCAGUUGAAACUGGCAGUCUUGAGUACAGUAGAGGUGGGCGGAAUUCGUGGUGUAGCGGUGAAAUGCUUAGAUAUCACGAAGAACUCCGAUUGCGAAGGCAGUUCACUGGACUGCAACUGACACUGAGGCUCGAAAGUGUGGGUAUCAAACAGGAUUAGAUACCCUAGUAGUC